CGUAGGGGGCAAGCGUUGUCCGGAUUUAUUGGGCGUAAAGAGCGUGUAGGCGGCCGUGUAGGUCCGUUGUGAAAACUCGAGGCUCAACCUCGAGACGUCGAUGGAAACCACACGGCUAGAGUCCGGAAGAGGAGAGUGGAAUUCCUGGUGUAGCGGUGAAAUGCGCAGAUAUCAGGAAGAACACCUAUGGCGAAGGCAGCUCUCUGGGACGGUACUGACGCUGAGACGCGAAAGCGUGGGGAGCGAACAGG
Molecule: ribosomal RNA, 251 nt
Filed under: uncultured bacterium
Lineage: Bacteria
Description: partial 16S ribosomal RNA
Rfam family: Bacterial small subunit ribosomal RNA
Source: RNAcentral